GCAAAUGAAAUAUAUAGCUCGUCCUGCUUAUUUGCUGCGGUGUGCAAUCAUGUAGGAUGUUCAGCAGCUGGACCCGCUGCCUUUCGUCAUUUGGUCAGCCAGAAAAAAGGCAGCAGAAUGACAAAGUGGUGGUGCCUUUCAGCACUGCCGUCUCAUCCGUGGAGUGCGGCACUUCCCGGGAUGCUGGGAUGCUGGGAUGAUGGUGAGCUUCUGCUGACACCUACCGCCAGAGCCGAACGCAGCACAGCAACGCAGGGGAAGGCACCGUCCCUCCCACGGCACUCUUGGCGUGCAGCUUCGGAUUCGGACUGCCGGUGUUGUAUGGAAAGAGGUAAAUACCACCCAUAGUUUUACGGAAUAACUUAUAUAAGGCAGAAAUGGAAAAGGCCCCAGGAUCAAUUUCGUGAGAUUUUUGUUUCGGUUUUGUUUUGUUUUGUUUUGUUGGGGUUUUUUGUUUGGGUUUUUUUGGUGGUUUUUUUGGUUGUUGUUUUUCUCUGAUAAAAUUAGUGAAGGAUAAGAGUAAACUGAAAGUCUCUUUAUGCAUUUUCCGUGAUAGAAGCCAAUGAGUUUAUAACGAGAAAAUACUUUUCAAAGAGAAAAAAAAAUUAUAUUUUUUAAUAGAUGGUACAUCUUCAUUGAUACUGUGAGGGGUUUUACAUCAGAUUCAUGAAAAAGCUGCUCUUCAAAGAAAUUCCUGCCCAGGAGUAGGUACCUGUUUCUUUGGUUUUGCAAACCUGCUUUUCACUUAUUUCAAUACUUAGAAAUCACAUCCAAGACAAGGAAGUGUGGUAGAGGAUGCCACUUACUGGAAGGUUAUUAGUGAAUUGCAAUGAAUUAAUGAACACAAGAGCUGUAGUUGACACCUUGAUAGGUGUAUAAAGGACCAAGAACCUUCUGAGCUAUCAGAAAACUAGAAACUAUUAGAACAUUUGGCUACUGGUGGUAAGGCUGUUUGUGCAUGUUGGGGUAUUAUGCUCAGCUCCGUUGCCAAAGGACAGGGCAGCAAAGCAGUUGGAAGAGUUCAUCUGUUUUCAAUUUGAAUGUUAUUACAUCUAGUUUAAAAACCCUCAGGAGAAAAUUUAAGGAUAGAGUAGAUGUGUUUGUUUUUCUUUUUUUUCAGCUUGUUGAUCCACUCCCACCAUUUGGAUUCGUGUAUCACGUUCUCUCCUCUGUCUUCAACUCUGAAAACCACACGCUCUCAACUUGUGAAAUACUUCCAAAUUUGAAGCAUAAUCGCAAGCCAGGCAUCACUGCUAUGUGCUCUCUGUCAUUGGAAGGCAGUAGAAGAGGGAUAUGGAAGUUAUUCAGUUGGAUGCAUGCAGGACACGAGUUACCAGCCCAGGUCCCCAGGAUAAGUCAGAACACUGCUGGGCUGCACGCUGCCUCUGAGGACCAGAAGGUGAGGAAGCCUGUGACCAACACCCCUCUGGAAUACCACAGCUGGAAGCUUCUGUCAUUGCUCUUCCAAAGAAGCAAGUGCCUCUGAAAAAUAAUUACUUUGACCUGGGAAUGACCCAUUUCCUGAGGGUAAAUGACAAAGAAGAGACAGAAUAGCACUGGGUGAAGACCAAACUGAAAUUUUUAUGUCUUCCAUCCUGGGCCUGAAAUGAAUGCCUGGUAUUUUGACUGUCAGUGCUUGGUUCUCAUCAACAAAGUGGCAUGAGUUCAGGUAUGUCCUGUUGCUGACAAUUAGUCACUCUUCUGACCCAUUACAAAUAGAUUUAACUUUGUAAUCACUGUGAUCUUCAAUCCUACUUUCUUAACUGUGAUGUUGUUUGCCUGUGAAAAUAGCAUGGCUCUUGCCAUGAUCUCUGGUAGGUGUCAUUGCUACACUCUGCAGGGUACUUACUAACAAGGCAGACACUGUAUUUCCUGAAUUUUCCUUUAAGACUGCUUAAAGAUUUAGUUACUUGUGUAAUCUGUAUUCAGUGAUACAACACAGAACUUCCUUAUCCUGUUUGCCAGAUACAGUGUAUAAAGCUUGUAAAUAAAGAUGCAUUUAAUUUGCAUAAAUUAUUUGUUUGCCGGAGAAUUGUGAUUUUUAUCAAAGAUUCUGUAAUGACAGUUUAUUGUUGCAGAAAUUGCUUGGGCAAUCAAUCAAGAUCAUAAGUCUGCAUACAGCUGGAAAACUUAUAAAUAUAAUUCAUCAAAAAAUCCAUGUUAAUUAGGGUCAAGCCACCAUGAAAGAUAGAUUCCUCUACUGAAUAUAAUUUAUUAGUGAAAGUAAUGUAAGGAAUAGAAAGGAGAAAUGUUUCUGACUUUAGAGUCAGAGUGUUUUCAUAAAAACAUCUGGUUGGAGAAGUAAACAAAACAUCGUAAGUUCCAUUGGCUUUGACAGUACAAGUGAAUUAUUUCACCAGGGUGCUCCCUAUUAUUGACUACAAAGUGCUAUUAAACAGUAACAGAAAUGUUUAUUUGCCAUAUGUGAAAAAUUGGAUUGCUCCAGAGGCCAGCGAUGUUACGGAAAAAUUCUUUUGACAUUUCUUCAAAAUGCAGGCCGGGUUAGCACAGGAUUGUCACCGGACGAUGCCCUGAAUGGUGCCCAUUCUCAGUAGCUGCCACACAGUUUCACAGAGGACAGAGGCUUCCCUAUUUGCAUUUUUACUGCGUUCCUGCUACUUAUGAAGGGGAGACUAAGGAAUGAAUGGGCACAGACUGCUGAUUUAUCCCCAAGUACAAGGCACAUUGGCAGGAUUGUGGAGCUGGUGAUGCUGCUACCUUACUGUCAUACACAUUAAAAAGUAUUAGUAGCAGGCAAGAAUAAAAAUCUGUCUCAUAAUUUUCAUUGUUUCUUCUUCAAACCUGCUACAUAUUUUAAAAGAUCAGAUAAAAAAUGACACUGUGGAAUGCAUGCAUUACACAUUUACACACACACAUAUUUUCUGUGCUUGACAAAUUACUGAAGCUGAAAGGGAAUGAGCAUGCACAGCUCAGCUGCUGUCACUGGAAGGUGGCAGUGCUCAGUCUGUCACAGGGCCAGGCCCGGAGCCAUAUUUUCUCUAAAGCUUGUGAUAAAGCACAGAAACAGAUUUUUUUCUGUAUGUAUUAAUCAUCUGAAUCUUUAUAAUUUAAAUGUCAGACGCAUAAAUUACUUUUCAUGGAAUAAUGACAAUGAAACAUGCCCUUUGUAUUGGAAAGUACAAGUACAAUGCUAUCUCUCUGAUACAAUUAUAUGAUUUCUAUUCUAAUUUUAGAUCACUUGAGUGACUAUAGAAUAGGUGAGGCCUUGGGAUGUAAAUUCCAGAUGUUUGGUAGAAUAAGGGUGAUGGAGGAGGGAGGAAGUGGUCUUUUUUUUUUGCCCUUGUGUUCACAGGGGUAGGUCACUGGUGCUCGGAAAUAACCCUGUGAGGUUCCAGCUUGUCAGCUUUUGUUUCCUCUAAUUUAAGAAUAAAUCUCUAUCUGGAAUAGUUUUCAGAGAGCUUAUUUCCUCCAUUUGCUAACAGUAUCCCUCCUUGAGUUCCUCACACGAAUACACUGCCAGCCCACUGUAAUUAGGUUGGAAGUUGUGAACAUUAUUCCAUUUCACUUUGGCAAAAGUACCAUUUCAGACGGCCACUGGAGAUAACGUAAGCGCCAGCUCCGUUCCCUCAUUAUCUCCUUGCGUAGCACCAGCUGGAGGGAUCACUCGUGUUAACAGCUUGCUCUCGCGUCUCCUUGAGCCUUGUCUUGUCGCUAUCAGCAGCCCGCAGCCGGGGAACACCUCGGCUCGAUAGCUCACCCCCGGGACGGGCAGCCCGGCGCGGCUCCCGGGGAACCGAGACCCCGGCACGGGGGUGCUGAGCUCCAGGCACCCGGGGAGCUCCAAGGGCGGCCCCGGCGCGGCUCCCGGGGAACCGAGACCCCGGCACGGGGGUGCUGAGCUCCAGGCACCCGGGGAGCUCCAAGGGCGGCCCCGGCGCGGCUCCCGGGGAACCGAGACCCCGGCACGGGGGUGCUGAGCUCCAGACACCCGGGGAGCUCCAGGGGCGGCCCCGGCGCGGCUCCCGGGGAACCGAGACCCCGGCACGGGGGUGCUGAGCUCCAGGCACCCGGGGAGCUCCAAGGGCGGCCCCGGCGCGGCUCCCGGGGAACCGAGACCCCGGCACGGGGGUGCUGAGCUCCAGACACCCGGGGAGCUCCAGGGGCGGCCCCGGCGCGGCUCCCGGGGAACCGAGACCCCGGCACGGGGGUGCUGAGCUCCAGGCACCCGGGGAGCUCCAAGGGCGGCCCCGGCGCGGCUCCCGGGGAACCGAGACCCCGGCACGGGGGUGCUGAGCUCCAGGCACCCGGGGAGCUCCAAGGGCGGCCCCGGCGCGGCUCCCGGGGAACCGAGACCCCGGCACGGGGGUGCUGAGCUCCAGGCACCCGGGGAGCUCCAAGGGCGGCCCCGGCGCGGCUCCCGGGGAACCGAGACCCCGGCACGGGGGUGCUGAGCUCCAGGCACCCGGGGAGCUCCAAGGGCGGCCCCGGCGCGGCUCCCGGGGAACCGAGACCCCGGCACGGGGGUGCUGAGCUCCAGGCACCCGGGGAGCUCCAAGGGCGGCCCCGGCGCGGCUCCCGGGGAACCGAGACCCCGGCACGGGGGUGCUGAGCUCCAGGCACCCGGGGAGCUCCAAGGGCGGCCCCGGCGCGGCUCCCGGGGAACCGAGACCCCGGCACGGGGGUGCUGAGCUCCAGGCACCCGGGGAGCUCCAAGGGC
This is a long non-coding RNA of Ficedula albicollis (Collared flycatcher), 4678 nucleotides long. Lineage: Eukaryota; Metazoa; Chordata; Aves; Passeriformes; Muscicapidae. The record is from Ensembl.